AUGCGCCUCAGGGUUAUUGCGCCCCUGCCUAUAACAUGCAACACGUCCCCUCGUACCGAGGCUAAGACGUUUCCGCACAUCGCACAUGGUAAUCAGAGCAAUCCUCUCCAAAGCCAUCUAGCGAUCCAAUCUCCAGCCAUGUCUUCCUCCGGCGCUUCUCAGGCCAACCUCAGCGGCCAAGUCAUGGAGAAGCUGACCCGCACCAACUAUGUCCUCUGGCGCACGCAGGUGACACCACAACUUAGGGGCGCGGGAGUCUUCGGCUACGCCGACGGCACAACACCGGAGCCGGCCAAGUUCCUCACCACCAAAGAUAAGGAUGGGAAGGAAACCUCUGGCCCAACCCUCUCCACCCUUUUUGGGUCCGGGAGGACCAGUAAGUGCUGGGCUAUCUCCUCAACAACCUCACCAAGGAGGUCCUGCUGCAGGUGA
This 432-nucleotide ribosomal RNA is filed under the name Triticum aestivum (bread wheat). RNAcentral describes it as "partial small subunit ribosomal RNA". The record is from RNAcentral. Lineage: Eukaryota; Viridiplantae; Streptophyta; Magnoliopsida; Poales; Poaceae.